GGGCCGGUAGUUCAGUGGCAGAACGCCUCAUUUGCAAUGAGGAGGUCGCGGGUUCGAUUCCCGCCCGGUCCA
Molecule: transfer RNA, 72 nt
Filed under: Patescibacteria group bacterium
Lineage: Bacteria
Description: tRNA-Ala
Rfam family: tRNA
About the family: Transfer RNA (tRNA) molecules are approximately 80 nucleotides in length. Their secondary structure includes four short double-helical elements and three loops (D, anti-codon, and T loops). Further hydrogen bonds mediate the characteristic L-shaped molecular structure. tRNAs have two regions of fundamental functional importance: the anti-codon, which is responsible for specific mRNA codon recognition, and the 3' end, to which the tRNAs corresponding amino acid is attached (by aminoacyl-tRNA synthetases). tRNAs cope with the degeneracy of the genetic code in two manners: having more than one tRNA (with a specific anti-codon) for a particular amino acid; and 'wobble' base-pairing, i.e. permitting non-standard base-pairing at the 3rd anti-codon position.
Source: RNAcentral